Molecule: long non-coding RNA, 287 nt
Filed under: Homo sapiens (human)
Lineage: Eukaryota; Metazoa; Chordata; Mammalia; Primates; Hominidae
Description: HSALNT0376988
Source: RNAcentral
AACAAAGAUAAGCCCAAGAUGGCACAGAAUUCAUGAGGAGCCGAAGGGGUGGAUUUUCUCCUCUGAUGCCGUCUGGCCCAGGAGGACAUCAUCCUCCGCCCUGGAGGGCCCAUGAGAUGCUCAGGGCCACAUCAGUACAUUUCUAUGCAGCUCCAGAUAGGUAUCCUGUAAACUUCAGCUGACCUGGUAUCAUUCCAGAAUGGGCCAGAAACCCUGGAUUCUCUCUGAGUCUGAAUUGUACUGUUUAAGCUGCAUCAGAAGGAAGCAACCCACAGUUUGCACUUCAG